This 399-nucleotide ribosomal RNA is filed under the name uncultured bacterium. RNAcentral's name for it is "bacterial SSU rRNA". It matches the Rfam family "Bacterial small subunit ribosomal RNA", at positions 30 to 429 of the family's 1533-position model. The record is from RNAcentral.
AUUGAACGCUGGCGGCAUGCCUUACACAUGCAAGUCGAACGGCAGCGCGGGGCAACCUGGCGGCGAGUGGCGAACGGGUGAGUAAUAUAUCGGAACAUACCCUAGAGUGGGGGAUAACGUAGCGAAAGUUACGCUAAUACCGCAUACGCACUAAGGUGGAAAGUGGGGGAUUCGCAAGAACCUCAUGCUCAUGGAGUGGCCGAUAUCUGAUUAGCUAGUUGGUGAGGUAAAGGCUCACCAAGGCGACGAUCAGUAGCUGGUUUGAGAGAACGACCAGCCACACUGGAACUGAGACACGGUCCAGACUCCUACGGGAGGCAGCAGUGGGGAAUUUUUGGGACAAUGGGGGGCAACCCUGAUCCAGCAAUGCCGCGUGAGUGAAGAAGGCCUGGUUGUAGG